GAACGUUGGCGGUAUGCUUAACACAUGCAAGUCGUACGUGAAAGCUUCCUUCGGGAAGUGAUUAAAGUGGCGCACGGGUGAGUAACACGUGGAUAAUCUACCCGACAAUCAGGGAUAACAUUUCGAAAGGAAUGCUAAUACCUGAUAAGCCUACGCCCUCUUCGGAGGAAGUAGGAAAAGGUGGGGACCUUCGGGCCUGCCGUUGUUGGAUGAGUCCGCGGCCCAUUAGGUAGUUGGUGGGGUAAUGGCCUACCAAGCCGAUGAUCCGUAGGGGGCGUGAGAGCGUGACCCCCCACACUGGCACUGAGAUACGGGCCAGACUCCUACGGGAGGCAGCAGUGAGGAAUAUUGCACAAUGGGCGCAAGCCUGAUGCAGCAACGCCGCGUGAGGGACGAAGGCCUUCGGGUUGUAAACCUCUUUUCUGGGGGAAGAGACAAGGACGGUACCUCAGGAAUAAGUCUCGGCUAACUACGUGCCAGCAGCCGCGGUAAAACGUAGGAGGCGAGCGUUAUCCGGAUUUACUGGGCGUAAAGCGCGCGCAGGCGGUUUCGUUAGUCGGACGUGAAAGCUCCUGGCUUAACUAGGAGAGGUCGUUCGAUACUGCGGGACUUGAGGUUGGGAGAGGGAAGUGGAAUUCCCGGUGUAGCGGUGGAAUGCGUAGAUAUCGGGAGGAACACCCGUGGCGAAAGCGGCUUCCUGGUCCGCACCUGACGCUAAGACGCGAAAGCUAGGGGAGCAAA
This 741-nucleotide ribosomal RNA is filed under the name uncultured delta proteobacterium. RNAcentral's name for it is "bacterial SSU rRNA". It matches the Rfam family "Bacterial small subunit ribosomal RNA", at positions 31 to 772 of the family's 1533-position model. Lineage: Bacteria; Deltaproteobacteria. The record is from RNAcentral.